AGCACAACUCCUCCUAAACAUAGUUGAAAGUUGAAACACUACAACAGUCUGUCCAGAAGAAAAAGUGAGGCAAGUUCAGAGUGUCUCUACCCUACUCGAUCGAGGACUUCCACGUUUUAGUGUCAAAAAUCCUUGCACUCAAGGAAAACAAAGUCCUGUCUCCCGCUGACAAACAUCAUUUAUCCCGCUGGCACUGCGCUGGCACUGAUCAGGAUUAAACUUCUCACCUAAAUCAUUCUUAAUUGCUCCAAAGUUCAGAGCAAACUUCAAAAUGAGUAAAUAGUUGAAAAUAAAUCAAUAGACAAAACUAUUUUUCCAGAAUGUCAUUAUGCAUUUGAAAAGAAUUGAUUUGCAAAUUUGAAAAGUUACUAAUGUUAGAAGCACAUUUUGUUGCGGUACGUCAAAUCUCGGAAAAAUAACAAUACUGACCUUUGACCUACUAAAGGUCUCGUCCUCAGGGUAAUAUGUAGAACAUCUUGGAUACGAGAGCAAGCGAUACGGUCCACGAUUGGUUGUUUUUAACUCGUGACUAAAUCUGACCAAUCACAUCACUGAUUUUCAGACUACCACUUCCCGCCUUUGGAUCCAAGAUGGAGGGAGGUUGCUCCAUCUGUCCAUCUUGAUAUGAGCUGCAGUAAAGGCAUCUGUUUUCAAGUGUCUACUACAGGCUAGUGAGCUGAGAUGUCCAUGUUGAACCCUGGCACCAGCCUCCACUUUGAUGGACAGGCACUUCAGGAUGAGGCUGAGGCUGAGUUUGAGAAGGAGGACAGGGAGAGGGAGAAAGAGGUCAGAGGUCACCUCCAGCCAUGGGGCUGCUUCCUUUUACCUCCCACCUAUUCUGUCAACUUUCCUUGAUUCCUUGUCUGUCUGUGUUUUUUGUAUGAAAGUGGUUUUGAAAAUUGGUUGAUUUGAAGGCAUGCAUGUGUCUACAGUGCAUUUGGUUAUAAAUGAUGCAAGUCUAAAGGUGAACCACAGUUUAGUUCACAGAAGAGCUGUUCUUCCACCGAUCAUGACAGGUAAGAUUUGAACAGGUUCAUUGUACCAAGGAACUGGUACUUUUUAACAAGCACAAUGAACAGUAGACCAUGGCUUGAAAACCCGUCCUAAGACUGCAACCCUUUCCAGUAGCGUACAUAUCUGGGAAGCGACAACAGUCAGGGUUGGAGCUUCUAACCUUGGGUCACUCAACACUUGACUGCGCACACUACACAUCCCAGGAUUUCAAGGCUUUUCAGCAGCAGUGCAUGCUCCAUUUCCUAAGCAAAUGAGUGCAAUUCCGUUUGUCAGCUGAUUUUUGUUUAACCCAAGCUGAUGGUCCCUUGGCUUGAACGUUAUGCAGCUUUCCUGGGUCCUCUUGACAAAGGAACUGUCUGGUGUCUAGCGGUAAUGCGUGGGGAUUUUGCUUUUCUCAACCGCAUACCAGUAGUUUAAGAGAUCAACAACUUUAAGAGAUCAACAACUAGGACAGUUGGUAGAGGAUUCAGUGCAUUGACCAAGAAGGAUUCUGUGAGGGAGGUAGAAGCAACAAAAUGGAAAGCAAAGUAAAAGAAUAAUAUUUAACCUAUCAAAACUACUGAAGAAGAAAGAAUUACCUAGUUCUACUAUUUUUAUUGGCUGUCUUGUAUACUUGCAUAUCUCAAGCUCUUGGUUCUGCUGUGAGUUGGCCCACUGCAUCAUCGAACUGCGAGCUUGACAAAUUUUGCAAUUUUCUAGGAAACUAGAUGUGUAUUACUAGUGCUAGCCCAACUUAUGAAACAGAUCAAAGCUCUCUUAAAUACCUGUUUUGUGACUUAAAUUAAAACAUUUACUUAGAUCUUUCUACCACAAUAAGAAAACGUCACUGUGAUAAAAACGUUGCCUGAGGAUUUGGCGCCAUUAUCGAAUCAAAGCGAGACCGCAGUCUCGUGACUCCCGUAAGUACAUGGUAGGAUUCCUACAAUGUAAUGAUUAUAACUUUUAGUAGGUUUGCUGCCAUGGUAACCUUCCUAUUCGUUUCCAAACAAGAAACGGAGCAUAUAUCUCUUUGAUUUGAACAUUCCUCGCUAUUCAGGGCAUCCUUUUGUAGGUGUCUUAAGAAGAAAGAUGGUGUCAGAGAAUGACACCGGUAUGGUGGAAAAAAUUCCGCCACGAAAAUAGAUACGAAUUUAUCUUGAGCAUGCAGUGCUGCUAAAUGAAAAAUUGAACUAUUAGAAUCUGUUCCAAUGUUGGCAUGUGUGACCAGGAAACUACAUUGUUUUUGCCAGAGGAAGAUAGCCAAGCGUCAUCCUGGAUUAAG
Molecule: long non-coding RNA, 2275 nt
Organism: Branchiostoma floridae (Florida lancelet)
Lineage: Eukaryota; Metazoa; Chordata; Leptocardii; Amphioxiformes; Branchiostomatidae
Exons: 3
Source: RefSeq, a predicted model, not a curated record